AACGAACGCUGGCGGCAGGCCUAACACAUGCAAGUCGAACGCCCUAGCAAUAGGGAGUGGCAGACGGGUGAGUAACACGUGGGAACCUUCCCUAUAGUACGGAAUAGCCCAGGGAAACUUGGAGUAAUACCGUAUACGCCCGAGAGGGGAAAGAUUUAUCGCUAUAGGAUGGGCCCGCGUCGGAUUAGCUAGUUGGUGAGGUAAUGGCUCACCAAGGCAACGAUCCGUAGCUGGUUUGAGAGAAUGACCAGCCACACUGGGACUGAGACACGGCCCAGACUCCUACGGGAGGCAGCAGUGGGGAAUCUUGGACAAUGGGCGCAAGCCUGAUCCAGCCAUGCCGCGUGAGUGAUGAAGGCCUUAGGGUUGUAAAGCUCUUUUGGCGGGGACGAUAAUGACGGUACCCGCAGAAUAAGUCCCGGCUAACUUCGUGCCAGCAGCCGCCGCCG
This 449-nucleotide ribosomal RNA is filed under the name uncultured bacterium. Its description in RNAcentral is "partial 16S ribosomal RNA". It matches the Rfam family "Bacterial small subunit ribosomal RNA", at positions 29 to 523 of the family's 1533-position model. The record is from RNAcentral.